GGAAAUCCUGUUACCUGUUGGCCUGUUGUAAAAGAAACAAAUCACAAGUAAUUUAGUGUGUAAUGAUAAACUUCCAGGCCAAUCGUCUUACGAUUUGUACACAAAUGACUAAAUACUUUAGAAACAGGUAGGAAAGUUGAAAUGACUCCAGUCAAUCAUCAUAUACCCUAGCAACAACCAGAUAGAAAUACUACAUGGAGAAAUAAAGAAACACAACAUUUUGUUAUGAAGAGAACCAGCUCUAACUUGCAUUGGAUUAUGCAAAGGCUUCAAAUAUCCCUAGUGACCCAAAAUGACAAAACUGCAGAAAUUCGCACCAUUGCAUUACAGUUAUCAUCUUCAUUUGGAUCAGUUACCAAUAAGAUUAGAAAUAUAGAAGGAAAUAAUAACAACAACUAAACUUUAAUCCCAAA
RNAcentral lists this unclassified non-coding RNA (413 nucleotides) under Hevea brasiliensis (rubber tree). Lineage: Eukaryota; Viridiplantae; Streptophyta; Magnoliopsida; Malpighiales; Euphorbiaceae. The record is from RNAcentral.